RNAcentral lists this ribosomal RNA (521 nucleotides) under uncultured Glomus. RNAcentral describes it as "SSU rRNA". It matches the Rfam family "Eukaryotic small subunit ribosomal RNA", at positions 569 to 1092 of the family's 1831-position model. The record is from RNAcentral. Lineage: Eukaryota; Fungi; Glomeromycota; Glomeromycetes; Glomerales; Glomeraceae.
AGCAGCCGCGGUAAUUCCAGCUCCAAUAGCGUAUAUUAAAGUUGCUGCAGUUAAAAAGCUCGUAGUUGAAUUUCGGGAUCGAUAUAUCGGUCGUGCCUCGGUACGUACUGGUAUUUUCGGUUUCUCCCUUCUGACGAACCUUGAUGUCAUUAAUUUGGUGUCUUGGGGAAUCAGGACUGUUACUUUGAAAAAAUUAGAGUGUUUAAAGCAGGCUCACGCUUGAAUACAUUAGCAUGGAAUAAUGAAAUAGGACGUUUGAUUCUAUUUUGUUGGUUUCUAGGAUCGACGUAAUGAUUAAUAGGGAUAGUUGGGGGCAUUAGUAUUCAAUUGUCAGAGGUGAAAUUCUUGGAUUUAUUGAAGACUAACUACUGCGAAAGCAUUUGCCAAGGAUGUUUUCAUUAAUCAAGAACGAAAGUUAGGGGAUCGAAGACGAUCAGAUACCGUCGUAGUCUUAACCAUAAACUAUGCCGACUAGGGAUCGGAUGAUGUUAAUUUUUUAAUGACUCAUUCGGCGCCUUACG